UACAGAGGUGGCAAGCGUUGUUCGGAAUUACUGGGCGUAAAGGGCGCGUAGGCGGCCUUGUAAGUCUCGUGUGAAAGCCCUCGGCUUAACUGAGGAUCUGCACGGGAUACUGCGGGGCUUGAGUUCGGGAGAGGAAAGCGGAAUUCCGGGUGUAGCGGUGAAAUGCGUAGAUAUCCGGAGGAACACCAGUGGCGAAGGCGGCUUUCUGGACCGACACUGACGCUGAUGCGCGAAAGCUAGGGGAGCAAACGGG
Molecule: ribosomal RNA, 253 nt
Filed under: uncultured bacterium
Lineage: Bacteria
Description: partial 16S ribosomal RNA
Rfam family: Bacterial small subunit ribosomal RNA
Source: RNAcentral